Molecule: transfer RNA, 77 nt
Filed under: Salipiger sp. PrR003
Lineage: Bacteria; Pseudomonadati; Pseudomonadota; Alphaproteobacteria; Rhodobacterales; Roseobacteraceae
Description: Yangia sp. PrR003 tRNA-Phe
Rfam family: tRNA
About the family: Transfer RNA (tRNA) molecules are approximately 80 nucleotides in length.
Source: RNAcentral
GGACAGGUAGCUCAGACGGUAGAGCGGAUAGCUGAAAGCCAUCGCGUCGCAGGUUCAAUUCCUCGCCCUGUCCACCA